RNAcentral lists this long non-coding RNA (5056 nucleotides) under Equus caballus (horse). RNAcentral's name for it is "lncRNA (ENSECAG00000055218.1)". The record is from RNAcentral. Lineage: Eukaryota; Metazoa; Chordata; Mammalia; Perissodactyla; Equidae.
CGCUGGGGAGGAGUCCGGGGCGGUGGCGCAGGGCACGCGCGCUCGGCGAGGGCGCCCCCUCCAGGGCCGACUGCCGCCUGCGGGACGGGGCUGAGUGCCGGCUGGCCUGGGCGGUGAGUUCCAGAAGCCUGCUCUUUCUAAUACGGGAGCCUCCUCGCCUCCCCCGGGCACACGCACACGCGGGCACGCACACUCGCGCGCAGCACCGGCCGGCUCGGGGUCCGCGGCCUGAUUGGAGAGCCUGCCUCUCGCAGCCUGGCGGAGGAUGCGACGCUGCCUGGGCGCGCAGCGGUCCUCUUGAGCGCGGGUCCGGCUCCGAUGAUCUCUGUUGGGUGCUCCAAGGCGGAGCGCCACUUCCCCACCCCCGUCCUCGGUCCCCUCCUCUGCCCGCUUCCAAGCGCUGCUGGAGCAUGCAUCAUGACGGCCGUGCCAGUGGAAGCCUUGGGCAGGCUCCCAAGCUCUGCACCCUUGUUGGCAAUUACUGAAGUUGAAUUUUUAUGCUCUGUGGCCCUGCUUUUAAAGGGUGGGGGGAUGUUCGAAAUCGUUGCCUCUGAUAAACACCCAAAACUGAAUUGCCCGGAUGACGCGCGGCUUUGCGUGGGUGCCUCAUUCCUGCCGGCUUAGGGGUGAGCUGUUGGGGUAACCCCCGCUUACCCCCGUCCCACGUUUCUGUGCAUUCAUUCCCCUGUCUGCGCUGGUCCCCGCCUCCAGGCACCCUGAGGACUGUGGCAGACAGGCCCUGGGGAGGAGGUUGGAGUUCCCAGGCCUGGCCUUUCUCGCUGGGAUGAGGGAGAGGACCUUCCCUCCGAGCGGUUCAGAAACGCUCCCAGGCUGGCGGGCAGCUCUCCCUGCAUCCUCAGUGAUGCCUGAAAUGUUCGCGGUGUGGGGGCUUCGUCUCUCUCCUCUGCUAGGGAAGGGCUCCGCGGGCCUCACGGGAGAGCACUGCUGUCUUAGCAGAGGCGCCUCUUGGAGCUCCAGCGUCCCUGUUAACCGGUUCCCACGAGGAGGAGGAGAGGGUCGGGCCAGGGCCAGGCCAGAACUCAAACAUUCCGGAUGGUGUUUGAGAGGGCCUGGACCUCCCAUGCCGGUCCUGGGCAUGUAUGGACUUUUAGGGAGCAAAGCUGUGACUGCGUGUGGGAGGUGUGGGACCCAGGGAGGGGAGAGAACCACCAUCCUUGUGCAAGAGCCGCCUGGUCCUGGAGGCCUGAAAGGUGUCACUGACCCAGGGGUGACAAAAUGCUCUGAAGCACCCGCAGUGCAUUUUGCGGGGAAGACCCCCACACCCCUGCACACUCCAUCGUUGGCCCGCACGGCCCCCAUCUGUAUCAGGCUUCCUCCUCAAGGUGCUAGCUGUCUUGGGUGAACACUGCCACGCACUGAGAUGGGUACAGUGAAUGCCGUCAGUGCCCUUGGCUCCUCCCCCAGCCUGGGGGUUGUCAAGGAAGGCUUCCUGGAGGAGGUGACCUCUGAGAUGUGUUUGGACCAGGCUGGGGGCAUCUGGAGUGCCUGGCUGGCUGAGUGACCCAGGUCCCUGGGGAUGUCUGGUGGCCUUUUGAGCUCAGGCUGCAGACAUUGCAGGGCUGCAAACAUCUCCUGGCAUAACAGGAAGGAGGCAGGAAAAGGAGUCUCUGGGGUCCAGGGCCCGGAGCCAAGGGGCGGAGGGGAACUGGGUCCCUCCAGGAAUCCUUGGGGUAGAGAAGCCCUUGGCUGGGCUGGGGCUGCAGUGAGUGUGGGCCAGCCUGUGCGGGAGGCCGGGGCUGCAGCUGUUUGAGAAGGAGGAGGAGAGCCCUCUUAGCCCGGACAGGGAGAGUGAGGUCUGACACUGCUCUCCAUUGUCCUGUAACAAGCAAAUCAGCGUGCGCCCUGAAAGACUGUCCGCCCCAACAGGUCGCUGAUGGCCGGGCCCGGUCUCGGCAGGAGGGGUGAAGAGGGUGCCGUGUAGUCGGGCUGCCCUGGUCCGGGGUGGGGAGGUGGGGGCGUGGGGACAGGGUGUGGGACAUCUGGGAAGGAAAACCAUGUGCAAAUGGAGCAGCCUGGGUCUGCCGAGGUGUCCUUGCCCUUCAUGCCACCCGUGACGAGUGGGGCCCAGAAGGGAAGGGUUGGUCCAGCCAGGGCCACACGACCAUGGGACACUGGGUCCUGGGUCUGGCUGCCGUGAGGAGGAAUUGGGUGCCCGCCUGCUGGGUGCACGCCUCCUGGGGUGCUGCGCUCCCUGCUCCACGGGAGGCCUCACUCAGGUGGAGGGGAUCUCGUCUCCUUGAACUGCCUCCUUGCACUUACAGGUAUGCAUGCACACACACACGUGCACACCUGCCCACGCAUGCCCAUGUGCACACAUAUCCAUGCACACCCGUGCUUGUAUACCCACAUACACAUGCCCACACAUAUGUACUGCGUGUGUGUGCGCCUGUGCAUACACACACCCAUGUACAUGCUACAGUGCAUUCACACAAGUAUCUAUGUGCCUACAUAAUGCACACUUAUGUAUGUACGUGCAUCCACAAACAGGCAUGCAUGCCCACACCCCCGCAUGUGCAUGCACAUGUAUCCACACACUGUGCACCUGCAUGUGCACAUCAGUGUAUUCAUGCACACACAUAUACUGUGUGCACACGUAUCCACACACAUGCAUCCAGUCGUGUACACAUGCUGUGUGCACACGUGCAUUAAUCCAUGCACACACACCUUUGCUUGUGUGUAUACAUGUAUCAUGCACACACGUGCAUGUGCACACACGUUGCUGCACAGUGACUCAUGCACCCACACCCAUGCAUUCAUGUCACUGCACACAUCCAUGAGCAUGUGCUCACCCCACGCAUACGCAUGCAUCCACACAGCCACACUUGCACAGGUGCCUGGGGGCUCACCCGUGCCCCUAGGCUGUGGGGAGGAUGUGUUUUUGGUGUUUUUGUUGCCUCGUUGCAGGCAGCUCUCCCCAGGCGUCAGGCUGGCUUCUGCCUUGCCGCCCUGCCUGCUCACCUCCCCCCGCAUGCUCGGCCUGUCCUUCAGCGCUCCCUCCAGCCCUGCUGGGGACUCCGGGCCUGGACACCUGCUCUUCCCCAGGCUGGCAGCCCCCUGCCUCAUCUGCCCCUGGGGCUCCCCUUUUCCUUCAGAACAUGCUGUGUGAGACUCCUCCCCAGGAGACCUCUCUGACCUCCCAGGCUGUGUGCCCCUCCGGGGCGGGCUGUCGUCAGCAGCCGUGUCUUGCUGCUGUGGGCUCUUGAGAGCAGGCCGUGUCUGUCCCACUGCCAGGCACAGAGCCUGGCUCACAGCACACAGUAGGAGCUCAGUGAAGGCGCAGUGGGGCAUGGGUGGUACAAAGAGCGGGGUGGGGGAUGCUGCAAAGGGCCUGGUGUCCCCCAUACCCCUCGGCCACGCCAGACGCAUGCGGUGUGCUGGUGCAGGUGGGGUCCGCCAGAGCACAUGGCAGCUGCCUGUGCCGGACCCCUGUGUCCCCGCCCAGCAGACCCUUUUUGCCUCCUUCUCUCAUUCCCUCUCAUUCCCUCGCUUGCUGACUGGCAUCGUGGAGUCUCGUGCGUCCCUGGGCCUCAGUUUCCCCAUCUGUAAGAUGGGAUAUUGGACUGGGUGGUUCUAAGGGCCGUGCCAGCUCUGCCCCCGCGUGGCUCCGAGCUCCUGGAAGUGGGCACUGUGUCUGGUCUGCUGCCUUCGCCCUCGGUUGCUGCCUGCAGGGGAGGGGAGCUGCCAGCUGUGCGGGCACGGGGGCCGUGGCCUGGCUGUCCCAUCUCCAGACCCAGAGGACUUGUUUUCUCCUUCCAGCUGAGCUGAGGAUCUUUUCCCCAUGUUUAUUUGAAAUUUCAUUUUUAAGGAUGAGGCAGGGAAAACACAGCUUGCUUCCCCCCACCCCCUUCGAAUUCCAGAUCCGCUUUGUCUUGUCAGAGCAUGGCCGGGAUCCGCUGGCCCGGGCGGCUCUCCGUGCGCUCACCCACAGACCGAGUCCGUUGCGAUAUUGAUCGCAUUGAUGGAUUUGGCUCCGCUGAGUUCUUACUGAGCUGGCGGAAGUCCCUCUGGAGCGAGAACUGCUUCGGGGGCCGUCUGUGAUUUGCAAUGAGUGUAAUGGAUUAGAGCAGUGGCUCAGCAUGUCUUACUGAGCGCCGGCUGUGGGCCUUACUCAGCCUAGGGCUGCUGGGGUCCUGGCGGCCGCACUGCCUCCUCGUGGUUCCCCUGCCUCCAGCCUGCCCCCGCCAGCCGGCUCCACGCUUGACUGAAGCCUCCCUUCAGGGGCUUGCUGCUGCGCACAUGCCUGAGCCCUCCUGGGCCUGGCCUCAACCCCAGAAUCAGGGGUCGGGUUGACCAGGUGUCCCCACCUGACCUCAGGAAGCCAUCUUCCCCUCCCAAGUCCCCUUGGCCUGUGAAUGGCGGUGGCAGUCCCUCCCGCUACGGCUGCCGUGCAGGCUCUGCAGAAUGAUGUCUGUGGAGCUGCGGCAGCCCGGGAGAUGCAGGAGAUGGAGGAAGCAUGUGGUGGGGCCCGAGGGGGCUUCUGACCUGCCUCGGGGCUCAGGCAGGACUUUCUGGAAGAAGCAGGGGCUCAGCUCAGAUGGGAGGACGAGAAGGCAGGCCCUGUGCGAGGGGCGGGCUGGGGAGGGUGUGUCCCAGGCAGGCAAGUGUGUACUGGGCAGCCGUCACUCACUUCUCCACGGACAGACAGGACUAUCAGAUGACCGCCGGUGACCAAACCCUUGAUUAACUCCCUCCUCUUGAGUGUGAAUAUGAUGGUUCGGCCCUUAAUCAGUUGAGUUUGACUUAAUCAACGGAGAUUAUCUGGGUAGGCCUGAGCUGAGCCGGCAAGCCCUUAAAAGGUGGUGAAGCGUCAGCGAGGCUCUCCUGCUGGCCUGAGAGAUGAAGGAGCCUCCUAAGAGGGGCCCCGGGGCGGGGACCUGCGGAUGGCCUCCGGGAGCUGAGAGCAGUGCCCGCAGGCUGCCAGCAAGAGGACAGGCGGCACCGGCUCGGGGAACUGAGCUCCACCGACAACUGUGACCUUGAGCGGGGCCUGGGGCCUCAGGUGGGAGUGCGGCCUCAGCUGACUCCUCCGUUUCAG